RNAcentral lists this ribosomal RNA (460 nucleotides) under uncultured bacterium. Its description in RNAcentral is "partial 16S ribosomal RNA". It matches the Rfam family "Bacterial small subunit ribosomal RNA", at positions 338 to 795 of the family's 1533-position model. The record is from RNAcentral.
CCUACGGGCGGCAGCAGUGAGGAAUAUUGGUCAAUGGGCGCGAGCCUGAACCAGCCAAGUAGCGUGAAGGAUGACUGCCCUACGGGUUGUAAACUUCUUUUAUAAAGGAAUAAAGUGAGGCACGUGUGCCUUUUUGUAUGUACUUUAUGAAUAAGGAUCGGCUAACUCCGUGCCAGCAGCCGCGGUAAUACGGUGGAUCCGAGCGUUAUCCGGAUUUAUUGGGUUUAAAGGGAGCGUAGAUGGGUUGUUAAGUCAGUUGUGAAAGUUUGCGGCUCAACCGUAAAAUUGCAAUUGAUACUGGCAGACUUGAGUGCAGAUGAGGUAGGCGGAAUUCGAGGUGUAGCGGUGAAAUGCUUAGAUAUAACGAAGAACUCCGAUUGCGAAGGCAGCUUACUAAACUGCCACUGACAUUGAUGCUCGAAAGUGUGGGUAUCAAACAGGAUUAGAUACCCGGGUAGUC